RNAcentral lists this ribosomal RNA (447 nucleotides) under uncultured bacterium. Its description in RNAcentral is "bacterial SSU rRNA". It matches the Rfam family "Bacterial small subunit ribosomal RNA", at positions 355 to 825 of the family's 1533-position model. The record is from RNAcentral.
UCGGGAAUUUUGGGCAAUGGGCGAAAGCCUGACCCAGCAACGCCGCGUGAAGGAUGAAGUAUUUCGGUAUGUAGACUUCGAAAGAAUAGGAAGAAUAAAUGACGGUACUAUUUAUAAGGUCCGGCUAACUACGUGCCAGCAGCCGCGGUAAUACGUAGGGACCAAGCGUUGUUCGGAUUUACUGGGCGUAAAGGGCGCGUAGGCGGCAAUUCAAGUCAUCUGUGAAAUCUCCGGGCUUAACUCGGAACGGUCAGAUGAUACUGCUUUGCUAGAGUGCAGAAGGGGCAAUCGGAAUUCUUGGUGUAGCGGUGAAAUGCGUAGAUAUCAAGAGGAACACCUGAGGUGAAGACGGGUUGCUGGGCUGACACUGACGCUGAGGCGCGAAAGCCAGGGGAGCAAACGGGAUUAGAUACCCUUGUAGUCCCUGAGCGGGCUGGCAAGGCGCAU